This 1243-nucleotide ribosomal RNA is filed under the name Vibrio alginolyticus. RNAcentral's name for it is "bacterial SSU rRNA". It matches the Rfam family "Bacterial small subunit ribosomal RNA", at positions 130 to 1367 of the family's 1533-position model. The record is from RNAcentral. Lineage: Bacteria; Pseudomonadati; Pseudomonadota; Gammaproteobacteria; Vibrionales; Vibrionaceae.
CCCGAUGUGGGGGAUAACCAUUGGAAACGAUGGCUAAUACCGCAUGAUGCCUACGGGCCAAAGAGGGGGACCUUCGGGCCUCUCGCGUCAGGAUAUGCCUAGGUGGGAUUAGCUAGUUGGUGAGGUAAGGGCUCACCAAGGCGACGAUCCCUAGCUGGUCUGAGAGGAUGAUCAGCCACACUGGAACUGAGACACGGUCCAGACUCCUACGGGAGGCAGCAGUGGGGAAUAUUGCACAAUGGGCGCAAGCCUGAUGCAGCCAUGCCGCGUGUAUGAAGAAGGCCUUCGGGUUGUAAAGUACUUUCAGUCGUGAGGAAGGUGGUAGCGUUAAUAGCGGUAUCCAUUGACGUUAGCGACAGAAUAAGCACCGGCUAACUCCGUGCCAGCAGCCGCGGUGAUACGGAGGGUGCGAGCGUUAACCCCAAUUACUGGGCGUAUGGCGCGUGCAGGUGGUUUGUUAAGUCAGAUGUGAAAGCCCGGGGCUCAACCUCGGAAUAGCAUUUGAAACUGGCAGACUAGAGUACUGUAGAGGGGGGUAGAAUUUCAGGUGUAGCGGUGAAAUGCGUAGAGAUCUGAAGGAAUACCCGUGGCGAACGCCGCCCCCCUGGACAUGAUACUGACACUCAGAUGAGAAAGCGUGGGGAGCAAACAUGAUUAGAUACCUGGUAGUCCACGCCGUAAACGAUGUCUACUUGGAGGUUGUGGCCUUGAGCCGUGGCUUUCGGAGCUAACGCGUUAAGUAGACCGCCUGGGGAGUACGGUCGCAAGAUUAAAACUCAAAUGAAUUGACGGGGGCCCGCACAAGCGGUGGAGCAUGUGGUUUAAUUCGAUGCAACGCGAAGAACCUUACCUACUCUUGACAUCCAGAGAACUUUCCAGAGAUGGAUUGGUGCCUUCGGGAACUCUGAGACAGGUGCUGCAUGGCUGUCGUCAGCUCGUGUUGUGAAAUGUUGGGUUAAGUCCCGCAACGAGCGCAACCCUUAUCCUUGUUUGCCAGCGAGUAAUGUCGGGAACUCCAGGGAGACUGCCGGUGAUAAACCGGAGGAAGGUGGGGACGACGUCAAGUCAUCAUGGCCCUUACGAGUAGGGCUACACACGUGCUACAAUGGCGCAUACAGAGGGCGGCCAACUUGCGAAAGUGAGCGAAUCCCAAAAAGUGCGUCGUAGUCCGGAUUGGAGUCUGCAACUCGACUCCAUGAAGUCGGAAUCGCUAGUAAUCGUGGAUCAGAAUGCCACUGAGAAU